UAGGGAAUCUUCCACAAUGGGCGCAAGCCUGAUGGAGCAACACCGCGUGAGUGAAGAAGGGUUUCGGCUCGUAAAGCUCUGUUGUUAAAGAAGAACACGUAUGAGAGUAACUGUUCAUACGUUGACGGUAUUAACCAGAAGUCACGGCUAACUACGUGCUAG
Molecule: ribosomal RNA, 162 nt
Filed under: uncultured bacterium
Lineage: Bacteria
Description: partial 16S ribosomal RNA
Rfam family: Bacterial small subunit ribosomal RNA
Source: RNAcentral